CAAGGAUUUGUCCAGAGCAGACACUGAUCUCUUUCUGUGGGGCAGCUCCCCUCACCCUGUCAGCCAACAUGACCUGUCAGCUUGUCGCCGGUGGACACAGGAGCUGGUGCUGGGAUUUUGACAUCAAUGGAAAGACUUCAGCUCAAGUUGACUCAAGACGCAAAAUGUGGACAGAGGAACCUUCUGGACGCAGCUGCAUGAAAGACAACUGGGAGAAGGACAAGGAAAUGACCAGUAUCUUAUACAGGACCUCAGAGGGAGACUGUCAGAAAUGGCGUGAGGAGUUACUGAAGCACUUGAAAAGGCAGGAGGAGCCCACAGCACCUCCACCCACCACACAAAACUUGCCCCCAUCCAGCUCUGUGGUGAUCACUCCAAAUGUGUGGGUCCUGCUGCUGAUCAUCACCUGCUCCAUCCUAUGUUGUUUCUAUGGAGAGAUUCAGUGACAGGUGCGGUGGGCGUGCUUUGAGGGAGAGCAAGGGAAUGAGGGUCGAGGAGUAAGGCUGGGAAAAUGGAACCUCAGAGUGCCUAUUCUGAGUUCACGUGUACUCAGGACAUUUUGGGGGGCUCCCAGAUGAGGAGAGAGAGGAGGAGGAAGGCUAUCUGCAGCCACACUCAAGGCCAGGGGAACCAGGUUCCAGGCCUCUAUGUUGGGAACCCCCCGCCCCAGCCUGUCUCUAGCCCCUUCCCUGAGAGGGAGGAGCAGGCUCUGGGUCAGGGAGCAGAUCCAGUCUCCACAGCUUCAGUGCUGAGCAGCACUAAUGCUAAGCAGGGCCUGUGGCUGAUGCUGGGAUGAGGGGAAGGACGAGGAGGCUGCUACAGGCUCCAGGGGCAGGGACUGAGAGUGGGAGGGGAACACAUGACCCUUAGUGAGGGCAGACCCGAGGUUGGGCUGACUAGGGAGGAGUCCCCAGCAGAACUGACGCAGGGCUUCCUCAGACCCUGGGAGUUACAUUUGCUGCUUUUCUCAAGGUUGACGGUGCUGGAGAGAAGCUCCUGAAAAGGUGAUCAAGUAAAAUUCAUCUCCUGAGUGGUCAUCUGCCAGUCCACCAUCCGCUGUCCAUUCCGAGGCUCCGGCAAGCCAUUGAGACUGGAGCUGGGCUGCCUGGUUCUCCUCUGCUUUCCCACAUGAAGUGAGGGGUCAGCGUGUCGCUUGAGGCCCACCAUGAUCCCACACAGACCUCUGUGGCGGCUUUGUUCCUCCUGACCACAGCAGCCCAUUCCUCUGGUGCUACCCAGUGGUCCUUGUCAUCCCAGAGCCCAGUUAUUGCCAGGAAGUUGCUCUGACUUCAACAUCUCGUGCCCUUUGGGCCAUUUAGGUUGCUCCCACUGUGCACUUUUAUUAACAUCUCAGGCCAUUUUCUCUUGGCGCCAACUGAAGGCAUCUUUCCCUUGGAUUCCUAAAUGCUUGAACUAAAGUCUGGACGGAGAGAGGAAUUUCUAUCUGCUGCUUUGUUGUAUGUGAUGAAAUAAUCCUCAGAGCCCUAACAGUAACCUUGUUGUAAGGAUCCUGCCACUGAAAUAUGUUGAACCUCACACUUCAGGGAUUAGUCGUAUAUCCUCUAUUUUUAAAAAGCAUUGAAUUCUUUUGAUUGUGUCCUUUAAUAACUUACCACCUGACAUUUAAAGGAAGCUCUUCAUUUUGAAACAAACAUCUGAAUUAGUCUGUAAUUUGGUUUUACGAUCCAUGUGGUAGAUAUUUUCUUGUAUCAACCUGAUUGCCCAAGGGUUGUCGUAACUGUAAUUGUGGUAAUUAUUAUUAUUGUGGUAAUUAUUAUCAUGUGGUUAUUAUUAUUGUGGUAAUUAUUAUUAUGUGGUAAUUAUUGUUGUGGUAAUUAUUAUUAUUAUUAUUAUUAUUAUUAUUAAGAUAUUUGUGUCUAUGAGGGAUUUUCUGACAGAGAUUCUUACUUGCAGCGCAAAGCUGAACCCAUUACAUCCUUUCCACUCAUUGAUAAAAGAAAAAGGCGGAGGAAGGACAAAUUCACUGUGCUCCAGCUGAGCCAUCCCUCUGCUCCAGACCUGGGACUUGACAUUUGUGCUUCUGUUCCUCAGGCUCCCCGACUAGACCAGGACCUACACCAUCUGCCAUCCACGCCAGGUCUUCCCACUCACACUCACUGCCUUUCUUGAUUCUUAAUCUGCUGACAGCCGAUUGGCAGACAUCGUGGGCACCAUACCCUGUAAGCCUAUUUCCACAACAAACCUGUGGUUUCUAUUUCCCUGGAGAACCCUGAUUAAUAUGAAUUUAUAGUGUGAAUGAUAAUUCAGUCUACCUUCAUAUUAUUGAGUCAUUUGUAAAACAAAUUAUUUUUCUGAAUUUGUUUACGAAACAGGGAGUUUAGGAAUCACCCUCAAUUUAAGAAGGGGUCUAAACAUUUUUGUGACUAUCAAGCAAACAAUAUAUGCUCUGCUGGGUGUGCUGGCACACCCCUGUAAUCCCAUCACACAGGAGGCUGAGACAGGAGGACUGCCAUGAGUUCAUGAGUUCAAGAUAAGACUGGGCUGCAUAGUGAGUUUAAAACCAGAGUGAACUACAUAGUGAGACUCUGUCUUAGAAAAACAAAACGAAAAGAAAAACAUGCUCUUAUGUUAAGGAAUACAAUUUUUGUCUGAUUUUUCUCCAGCACUUCCUGCUUCAGUAGUGAUUUUCUUAUGGUUCCUAGUUCCUGACCUCCCAUUGAGUUAGAAGGAAUGUUCACAGCACAAUGCCCUCUAUCUCUUAAGUUUUUUAUUCUCUUGCUUAUAGUAUCACUUCCACAGUACUCCUACCAACAUCUAAUUCUUCUAAGGUAUGGGCAAACAGUAUGAAUAGUUCAUAGUACCACAGCCUUCAGAAAGAUUCAACAUAUUCCAAAUAAUUAAGAUAAUAGAAACUAAAAGAACCAUGCAACUUUCCCAUACAACCAACAAGUUGAUAAUGUUCAAAUAUAUCCAUACUAAGUGGUGGAUAGGAGAAGGAACACAGAGUUGUCUUACCUUGUGGCUAGAAGUAUAAAUUGAAGCAAUCUUUUGACCCAUAAUUUGAUGUUUCCAGUACACCGGACAAUAUGAUCACUGUACUUUACAAUAGUCCCAGUGUUAGUUCUAGAAUUCCACACAGGGUGAAAUACCAUGUAGAUAUAUAGUUGAUUGCCAAGGUAUUGUAUGUAUAACAAAAAAAAAGGAACAAUAACCUGUCCAGUUAAAUUAGAACAAUUUUUUAAUAUUGAUGACAUUUUUCUGUGUGGCUGUAUUUUAAACAAAUUAAACUAUUAUAAAAAAUGAAGCAACUAACAUGUUGGUGGAAAUUGUUUUAAGUCUUUCUAAUAUACUCAUGAGUUCUUCGGAUUGACAUAAAUUAAUACUGAUCUUAUAAAUUCAAACCUCUCCCCACAUCUUCAAAAUUUCAUAUGUCAACAAGCGGGACAAAUAAAAUACCAUAAAUCUCACCUUAAACAAUCAAAGAGACACCAAACAUGAUCUAUGUGGUAGAUAUUUUCUUGUAUCAACCUGAUUGCCCAAG
Molecule: long non-coding RNA, 3502 nt
Filed under: Fukomys damarensis (Damara mole-rat)
Lineage: Eukaryota; Metazoa; Chordata; Mammalia; Rodentia; Bathyergidae
Description: lncRNA (ENSFDAG00000031447.1)
Source: RNAcentral